AAUGAACGCUGGCGGCAUGGAUUAGGCAUGCAAGUCGAACGUGAAGCCCUGCUUCGGCAGGGUGGAAAGUGGCGAAAGGGUGAGUAACACGUGAGUAACCUGCCCCCGAAUUCGGAAUAGCCCCGGGAAACCGGGAUUAAUGCCGGAUGUGGUUUUCGGUCGCAUGAUCGAAGGACUAAAGGUCCGCCGUUCAGGGAUGGGCUCGCGUCCCAUUAGCUUGUUGGCGGGGUAACGGCCCACCAAGGCGAUGACGGGUAGGUGGUCUGAGAGGAUGGUCACCCACACUGGGACUGAGACACUGCCCAGACUCCUACGGGAGGCUGCAGUCGAGAAUCUUCCGCAAUGGGCGCAAGCCUGACGGAGCAAUGCCGCGUGAGGGAUGAAGGCCUUCGGGUUGUAAACCUCUGUCAGAGGGGACGAAAGCAAUGACGGUACCCUCAGAGGAAGCCACGGCUAACUACGUGCCAGCAGCCGCGGUAAUACGUAGGUGGCGAGCGUUAUUCGGAUUUACUGGGCGUAAAGGGUCCGCGGGGGGUUUGCCAAGUCCGAUGUGAAAUCCUGAGGCUCAACCUUGGAACUGCAUUGGAUACUGGCGGGCUAGAGUCUGCGAGGGGUGAGCGGAAUUCCUGGUGUAGCGGUGGAAUGCGUAGAUAUCAGGAAGAACACCGAUGGCGAAGGCGGCUCACUGGCGCAGCACUGACCCUCAUGGACGAAAGCGUGGGUAGCAAACAGGAUUAGAUACCCUGGUAGUCCACGCUGUAAACGUUGUGCGCUAGAUGUGGGAGGUCUGAUCCCUUCCGUGUCCAAGCUAACGCGAUAAGCGCACCGCCUGGGGACUACGGCCGCAAGGCUAAAACUCAAAGGAAUUGACGG
This 873-nucleotide ribosomal RNA is filed under the name uncultured Chlamydiae bacterium. RNAcentral describes it as "bacterial SSU rRNA". It matches the Rfam family "Bacterial small subunit ribosomal RNA", at positions 28 to 916 of the family's 1533-position model. The record is from RNAcentral. Lineage: Bacteria; Pseudomonadati; Chlamydiota; Chlamydiia.